This 273-nucleotide ribosomal RNA is filed under the name uncultured bacterium. RNAcentral's name for it is "partial 16S ribosomal RNA". It matches the Rfam family "Bacterial small subunit ribosomal RNA", at positions 38 to 339 of the family's 1533-position model. The record is from RNAcentral.
GGCGGCACGCCUAACACAUGCAAGUCGAACGAAGUAGCAAUACUUAGUGGCAGACGGGUGAGUAACAUGUGGGUAUCUGCCCUUUGGCCUGGAAUAACACGAGGAAACUUGUGCUAAUACCGGAUAAGUCCUAACGGAGAAAGUUUUAAUGCCAAAAGAUGAGCCCGCAUUUGAUUAGCUAGUUGGUAAGGUAAUGGCUUACCAAGGCAACGAUCAAUAGCUGAUUUGAGAGGAUGAUCAGCCACAUUGGGACUGAGACACGGCCCAGACUCC